Nothoprocta perdicaria is the source of this 255-nucleotide long non-coding RNA. RefSeq lists it as uncharacterized. NCBI's taxonomy places the organism in Eukaryota, Metazoa, Chordata, Aves, Tinamiformes, Tinamidae. The transcript has 3 exons. The record is from RefSeq and is a predicted model, not a curated record.
GAGAGUCCUUGUGGUUCUUGAUGAUUUGUUUUUGCCCUACUGUCUUGGGGGUGAUUUGUUAUUUGUAUGGGAAGAGCUACUGUAAGUUCUAUAGGUCUUCUACAGAAUUAUUAUGAGGACUGGAACCAAGUCCAGGGAGCUGAUGGGCACUGCCCUGACGCCCCUCCUGAUGGCCACUUGGCUUCCGGAUUSUCGGCGUUCCGGUCGUUGAGCAGCRUGUGCGGAGYCAACGGAUCCACCCUCAAGGUGGACGCU